CCCAAUGUAAGACCAGCAUGGAUCUCUUUUAUUUUUAUUUAUUUUUCUAAGAUCUUUUUAAACAAAAAAAAAAUGUAGGUGUUAUUAUGAUCUAACAAAUACAAAAAGAGCUAAUACUAUAAAAAUAAAAACAAAGAUACUGUGUGUCCUCGACUAGUCCGAAUGUAAUUUAUUUUUGCAUAAUGUUUUUAUUUUAUUAGCCGGGAGUUUUACUCCCGGUUUCCUACCAAAAAAAAAAAAAAAAAAAAAAAAAAAACAGUAAUAUAUUAAAAUUGGAAAUAUCUUAUUUUAAUUACUCACUGUAUUAAACUUGAAAUUUUUCUCUUCGUUUUUUUACUAGCACUAUACAUUGAUGAUCAUUUAUUGCUCUUUUUUGU
RNAcentral lists this long non-coding RNA (377 nucleotides) under Capsella rubella. RNAcentral's name for it is "long non-coding RNA (CRUB_LNC003628)". The record is from RNAcentral. Lineage: Eukaryota; Viridiplantae; Streptophyta; Magnoliopsida; Brassicales; Brassicaceae.